GACGAACGCUGGCGGCGUGCUUAACACAUGCAAGUCGAACGGAAAGGCCCUUCUUUUGUCGCGUGCUCGAGUGGCGAACGUGUGCGUAACAAGUGAGUACCCUGCCCUUGACUUUGGGAUCACUUCAGGAACUUAGACCUCAUACCGGCUAGGAGCUCCUGCUUUAUGGUGGGGGUGGGAACGGUUCUGCGGUUAAGGAUGGGUUUGGGGCAUAUUAGAUUCUUGGUGGGGUAGUGGCUCAUCAAGUCGAUGAUGGGUAGCUGGUCUGAGAGGAUGCUCAGCCAGACUGGAGCUGAGGCACAGUCCAGACUCCUACGGGAGGCAGCAGUGAGGAAUAUAUCACACUGAGCGAAAGCGUGAUGGAGCAAUGCCGCGUGCAGGAUGAAGGCCCUCGGGUUGUAAACUGCUUUUAUAAGAGAAGAUUAUGACGGUAACUGAUGAAUAAGGGACGGCUAACUACGUG
This 463-nucleotide ribosomal RNA is filed under the name uncultured bacterium. Its description in RNAcentral is "partial 16S ribosomal RNA". It matches the Rfam family "Bacterial small subunit ribosomal RNA", at positions 28 to 507 of the family's 1533-position model. The record is from RNAcentral.